RNAcentral lists this ribosomal RNA (505 nucleotides) under uncultured bacterium. Its description in RNAcentral is "bacterial SSU rRNA". It matches the Rfam family "Bacterial small subunit ribosomal RNA", at positions 20 to 518 of the family's 1533-position model. The record is from RNAcentral.
UGGCUCAGGAUGAACGCUAGCGGCAGGCUUAACACAUGCAAGUCGAGGGGCAGCGCGGUUGUAGCAAUACUCUGGCGGCGACCGGCGAAAGGGUGCGUAACGCGUGAGCGACAUGCCCGUCACCGGGGUAUAACCGAUGGAAACGUCGACUAAUCCCCCAUAACAUCAGAGGAGGCAUCUCCUUUGGUUGAAAUUCACGGAGGUGACGGAUUGGCUCGCGUCUGAUUAGCUAGUCGGCGGGGUAACGGCCCACCGAGGCUACGAUCAGUAGGGGUUCUGAGAGGAAGGUCCCCACAAUGGAACUGAGACACGGUCCAUACUCCUACGGGAGGCAGCAGUGAGGAAUAUUGGUCAAUGGGCGGAAGCCUGAACCAGCCAUGCCGCGUGCAGGACGACGGCCCUAUGGGUUGUAAACUGCUUUUGCUGCGGAGCAAUAAGGGCCUCGUGCAGGUCCGAUGAGAGUACGCAGCGAAUAAGCAUCGGCUAACUCCGUGCCAGCCGCAGC